RNAcentral lists this unclassified non-coding RNA (2298 nucleotides) under Leishmania donovani. RNAcentral describes it as "gene:LdHU3.33.2860(CDS-product:hypothetical_prote in_conserved)". The record is from RNAcentral. Lineage: Eukaryota; Euglenozoa; Kinetoplastea; Trypanosomatida; Trypanosomatidae.
GCCAGGACAAAACAGAAAAAAAACUCGUUUGCGUAGGAGUUUUCUGAACACCUACGGCGAGAGCAAUCACUGCAACGGCGACCACAACGACCUACAAAGCAGCUCCACUGGGAGGGCGGAGCCAUGUCUGGCAUGGAUGACCGCGCGAAGCAGUUCAAGGCGGCCGCUGAGGCUCAGCUCACUGGACCCGCGUUGAAGAGGGAGAUCAACACGCUGCGCCGCUUUCUUUUUCGCAACCAGGGGUGCCGCUUUACGAAGGCGGCUCAGCAGGCGCUCUACAUGGCGGUCAUCGCACACUACGGCAACUCAGCUGCCCAUCACGCUUCUGGCUACGCAGCCGCCUGUGACACGCCGGCGACAACGGCGUUCACUGCAGGGGCUGGCUCUAGUGGGCCGACUUCGGCGUCGUGCGCAGAUCCUUCGAGAGGCGCAGGUGUGCCACAUCCGGCCGGCGACGAGGACAGCGACGAAGGGGACCGCGGCAACGCCGCUGAUGCGACCGAUGCACCGAUUCUUCGCCUCCUUGACGACGCGCUCAAGAUGCCCUUCACCGUUUUUACCUCUCCACAAAAGGAUAAGCUGCUCAGUCUCUACUGGACCGUUCUCGGGACCGACGGCUCUGCAGGUGCGAACGCCGGCAACGGCACCAAGCCCACCCCCGCCGCCACACUCACGCUCUCACUUGUGGACAUCGUAGACGCCGGCAAGAACAAGGCGCAGCUCUCCCUCUUCACCGAUGGAGGUGAGGAGUAUCCGCAGGAAGUGCUCGUUUCGGAUGCCAGCACGCUGAAGCAUCUGAGGACAGCACUUGACAAUGGCAACGUCAUUUCGGUGACGGUACAGGAGAACGAGACCGGCGCGUCACUUGUAUCCUUUAGUGUCGACAACGAGUGAGCAAGUCAUGAACAGCGCGUUGCGUUUCAGAAGUAUGCUACGGAGAGGGAGGUGUUGACGUUGCUCCACAUUGCGCUGGCUCGGCGUGUUUUUUUCUUUUCUGAUCUGCUCGGCUUUGCCGUGCUUAAUGGCGGGUGACACCUCGGCGCGUGGUACCCAUGACUCUGUACACGCCCUGUGUGGGGAAGAAGCCAGGCAGCCCCUAUCCCCUGCCAAUGCUGCACCGCACCUGGCGGUGGCAGGGUCAGGCGCCUACGACGUGGGGGAGGUCAGAGCGAUGCAUCGCUGCUGACGUGGGCGGCCAGGUCGUGGAUGGCGCUGCGUCGGAGCGACCCGCGACCGUGCACCGGGCUGCGCCAUCCAUGCUAUAUGGGCGGAGUGUCAGCGCGACUCGACCGCGACCCGCCCGGCCCUCACUGCCUCCUGGUGUGUGGCGCCUGCGCCACGCCGAGGGAUGCGCCGGGUGGCGGCCGGCAUAGUGGGGGCAGCUGUGGGGCUGCGUGCGCAGAAGAGGCUGGCAGAGGCUGAGGCAGGGCCCGUGCUGAGAUGGCUGCGCCGGCGCAUGGCUGUGAUGCGCGUGUCUCUAGCGCUGCUUCGCACCACGCGAUGGGGGCCUGCGACGGGCCGGGGCUAGCGUGGCGUUGGGCUCCUGUUCUACGGCAGAAUGAAUGCGGUGCAAGCAUCAAACAGAAACACGGCUCAGGCCUCGUGAAUACAAGACGGAGGCAUGCCUUUGCUUCUCUUCCCUCUCUUUGUGCCGCAUGCCAAGUAGAAACACAACGGGCAGAGUGCCUCAGUUUUGGAUCGGGGCGUAGAGUCUCUCUCUGUCUUUGCUGUAUGCCAUACACGAAAAGAAGACACCAACAUCGGGGGGCGGGGGGAAGGGGAGAAAUAACGCCGACUUGUGUGCGCACGCCGCCCGCUGUUCUCUGGGCUCAACAUGCGCCGGCCACGCACAUUUGUGAAGUUUAUGUGCGGCCCACGUCCCCCUUGUUCCGAUACCCUUCCAGGCACUUUCAGUGCUGCCCAUCCUCGAGCUUCUUCGCUCCUUCUCCUCGCUGAGCCUCUGUUCUGCCUGCUGGCUUGCUGCCCUACUCGAUAGCAUCUCUUUUCGUUCACCGGCGCGCGUUCCCCCAGUCGCAUCUGAGAACAGACGAAAUAUACGUAAGAAAAGGGAGCGCGCAAGCGCACGGAAACACCCAAAGCGCAUCGGUGCGGGGAUGGGCUCUUCGUGGAUCUCCUUCGUCCCCACCCCCGCUUCUUCUUUCCUCAACUCUCUCUCUCUUUGAGGAGGUUUGAUUGUUGCUGUCGGGAUCCGUUGGCUCGCAUUCCCCGCUGCUGCUGCUGCUGCUUCUCUUUUAUCGCCUCUCCUUGCGUGCACGAUUUCGUGCGUCUGUGUGAGAG